Molecule: ribosomal RNA, 254 nt
Filed under: uncultured bacterium
Lineage: Bacteria
Description: partial 16S ribosomal RNA
Rfam family: Bacterial small subunit ribosomal RNA
Source: RNAcentral
UACGUAGGGGGGCAAGCGUUGUCCGGAUUUAUUGGGCGUAAAGAGCGUGUAGGCGGCCAUACAGGUCCGUUGUGAAAACUGGAGGCUUAACCUCCAGACGUCGAUGGAAACCGUAUGGCUAGAGUCCGGAAGAGGAGAGUGGAAUUCCCGGUGUAGCGGUGAAAUGCGCAGAUAUCGGGAAGAACACCCGUGGCGAAGGCGGCUCUCUGGGACGGUACUGACGCUGAGGAGCGAAAGCGUGGGGAGCGAACAGG